This 446-nucleotide ribosomal RNA is filed under the name uncultured bacterium. Its description in RNAcentral is "partial 16S ribosomal RNA". It matches the Rfam family "Bacterial small subunit ribosomal RNA", at positions 338 to 795 of the family's 1533-position model. The record is from RNAcentral.
CCUACGGGCGGCAGCAGUCGAGAAUCAUUCACAAUGGGGGAAACCCUGAUGGUGCGACGCCGCGUGGGGGAAUGAAGGUCUUCGGAUUGUAAACCCCUGUCAUGUGGGAGCAAAGGAAAAAGAUAGUACCACAUGAGGAAUAGACGGCUAACUCUGUGCCAGCAGCCGCGGUAAUACAGAGGUCUCAAGCGUUGUUCGGAUUAACUGGGCGUAAAGCGUGCGUAGGCUGUUUCGUAAGUCGUGUGUGAAAGGCGCGGGCUCAACCCGCGGACGGCACAUGAUACUGCGAGACUAGAGUAAGGGAGGGGGAACCGGAAUUCUCGGUGUAGCAGUGAAAUGCGUAGAUAUCGAGAGGAACACUCGUGGCGAAGGCAGGUUCCUGGACAUUAACUGACGCUGAGGCACGAAGGCCAGGGGAGCGAAAGGGAUUAGAUACCCUUGUAGUC